ACUCAAGCUUCCAUCUCUUCUUCGUCGCUCCUCGCUACGGCCGUGAAGCGAAUCAAGCUAAUCAAAUUUGGCCGAAUCGACGACGUUCUAUCUGUGCUUCAAUUCUAUAUACUACUCAAAACUUGGGAUAAACCCCAAUUCAGCAAUUCUCCAACUCAAACUCACCGUUUCAAGCCAUGGCGAAGCGCCUAAACGACGCCGUACACAAACUCCAACUCUCGUUACUCGAUGGAGUCUCCACAGAGCAUCAGCUCUACACCGCCGGUUCGCUCCUUUCCAAGAGCGACUACAAUGACGUCGUAACGGAACGAACCAUCGCGAACCUUUGCGGCUACCCUCUCUGCUCGAACCCUCUGCCGCCGUCGGAUUCUCGACAACACAAAGGGCGGUACCGUAUCUCGCUGAAGGAGCACAAAGUGUACGAUCUCCAGGAGGUGUACUUGUUCUGCUCCACGAGUUGUCUGGUGAAUAGCAAGGCGUUUUGGGGGGGUUUGGGGGAGGAGAGGGUUAGGGUUGUGGAUGAGAGGAGGAUUGAAGAGGUUUUGAAGGUUGUCGGCGCGGAGAGUAGUGUGGAGAGUGAGAUGGUCAGGAGGUUUGGGGAGUUGGAGAUCAGAGAGAAGGAGAGGGGGGAAGGGGUGGUUGGGGAAGUUGGAGCUGGCUCUUCGGAUGCCAUUGAAGGGUUUGUUCCGAAGGCUAAAUAUAAGGUGAAGACGCAGUUGAAGGGUGAGAAGAAAGAAGGUGAGGAUAAGGUGAAGAGCAAGUCUUCUGUUGAGAAAAACAAAGGGGUUAACGCUAAGACUAAUCAGCAGACUAGUAAAAAGGAUACAAUUUUUAGUGAUAUGAAUUUCAUGAGUACCAUAAUCAUGAAUGAUGAAUAUAGCAUUUCGAAAGUACCUUCUGGUUCAACUGGUAUGACAUCCAAAUUGAAGUAUGAAGAUUUAAAAACAACAGAGGGUAGUAAAAACUUGGAGGCUCAAUGUGCCACAUUGGGAUCUUUACAUUCCAGAAAAGAAGGUUCUGAUACAAUUAUGACGAAAUCAAGUGAGAAGAGUCAAAUUGCAAAAAACGAGCUUGGUGUUCAAGAUGUGCCUUCCACUUCAGCUCCUUUCCAGAGUGGUUCUAGGAUGACUUCUCUUGAACAAGAAAAUGGCUAUCCUGCAGAGAAAGAACCUAUAUUACGUGCAGGAAUGCCCAAAUCAUCUCUUAAAUCUUCAAGUUCAAAGAAACUUGGCCACUCUGUCAGUUGGGCUGAUGAGAAAAAUGAUAGUUUAGGCAGUGGAAACCUUUGUGAAUUUAGAGAAGAAAUGGGUGAUGGUGAUAAUGAUACAUUGCGCUUUGCAUCAGCUGAAGCCUGUGCAAUGGCAUUGAGCCAGGCAGCUGAAGUUGUGGCUACUGGAGAUUCUGAUGCUGCUGAUGCCGUGUCCGAAGCUGGAAUUAUUAUAUUACCACGUCCAGAUGAUGUAGUUGGAGAGAAACAGGUGGAGGAUGCUAAUUUGCUUGAACCCAAAGAAGCUCCUUUAAAAUGGCCCAGUAAGCCUGGGAUUCAACGAUCUGAAUUCUUUGACCCUGAGGAUUCGUGGUAUGAUACUCCACCUGAGGGUUUCAGUUUAAGUUUGUCGCCUUUUGCAACAAUGUGGAUGGCAAUCGUUGCAUGGAUAACAUCAUCUUCUUUGGCUUAUAUUUAUGGGAGGGAUGAAAGUUUCCAUGAAGAGUAUCUAUCAGUUAAUGGAAGGGAGUAUCCUCGAAAGAUUGUUUUGGGAGACAGUCGCUCUUCUGAAAUCAAGCAAACUCUUGCUGCUUGUCUGUCUCGGGCUUUACCUGGACUUGUUGCUGAUCUCAGGCUGCCGAUACCAAUAUCUGUUAUUGAAAAGGAAGUGGGGCUUUUGUUGGAAACAAUGUCUUUUGUUGAGGCACUUCCAGCAUUCAGAGCGAAACAAUGGCAAGUGAUUUCUCUUCUCUUCAUUGAUGCUCUUUCCGUCUAUCGGAUUCCUACUCUUACACCACACAUGACUAAUCGGACAAUGCUGCUUCGCAAGGUGUUGGACGGUGCUAAAAUAACUUUGGAAGAGUAUGAGGUUAUGAAGGAUUUUAUAAUACCCCUUGGUCGAGCACCUCAUUUUUCAACGCAGAGUGGGGCUUAAUGUAUGAUAUAAUAGGAAUAGUAUGAGGUUAUGAAGGAUUUCAUAAGACCCCUUGGUUGAGCUCAUUUUCGGCACGGAGUGGGGCUUAAUGUAUGAUAUAAAGUAUUUUAUUCAAUCAUGCCGCAAAGAAUUGUGAUUAUGUACAUAAUACUGAAUUUUACAACUCUAUUCUCUGAGUGUUUGACGAACUGUAUCCAUUGCUAUGCAUAUUCUCUGCAUUUGAAGACUUGAAAGAAAUUGUAUAUACCUGUGAACGUAUUCUUUUCAGAAGACGAUUGCAAUCCUAAACUAAAUGCGACCGCAUUCUAAGGUAAUUAUUUUUGCUGAUUGAUUUAUUUUAACUCAAGUUUGUGUUUUGUGUAAAACUGUAAUGAAUAAAAUGGAUUUGGUAAAAUAAUCGGAUCGAGAAUGCAUGGUAUCCUUUAUAUUGUUAUCUCCUUAU
Pistacia vera is the source of this 2583-nucleotide RNA transcript. It is a transcript of the gene named putative RNA polymerase II subunit B1 CTD phosphatase RPAP2 homolog, with no coding region annotated. The record is from RefSeq and is a predicted model, not a curated record. The transcript has 8 exons. Lineage: Eukaryota; Viridiplantae; Streptophyta; Magnoliopsida; Sapindales; Anacardiaceae.